This 627-nucleotide ribosomal RNA is filed under the name bacterium 7BL. RNAcentral describes it as "bacterial SSU rRNA". It matches the Rfam family "Bacterial small subunit ribosomal RNA", at positions 61 to 701 of the family's 1533-position model. The record is from RNAcentral.
GUCGAACGAUGAAGCCCAGCUUGCUGGGUGGAUUAGUGGCGAACGGGUGAGUAACACGUGGGUGAUCUGCCCUGCACUCUGGGAUAAGCCUGGGAAACUGGGUCUAAUACCGGAUAGGACCUUCGGCCGCAUGGCUGGGGGUGGAAAGUUUUUCGGUGCAGGAUGAGCCCGCGGCCUAUCAGCUUGUUGGUGGGGUAAUGGCCUACCAAGGCGACGACGGGUAGCCGGCCUGAGAGGGCGACCGGCCACACUGGGACUGAGACACGGCCCAGACUCCUACGGGAGGCAGCAGUGGGGAAUAUUGCACAAUGGGCGCAAGCCUGAUGCAGCGACGCCGCGUGAGGGAUGACGGCCUUCGGGUUGUAAACCUCUUUCACCCAUGACGAAGCGCAAGUGACGGUAGUGGGAGAAGAAGCACCGGCCAACUACGUGCCAGCAGCCGCGGUAAUACGUAGGGUGCGAGCGUUGUCCGGAAUUACUGGGCGUAAAGAGCUCGUAGGCGGUUUGUCGCGUCGUCUGUGAAAACCCGCAGCUCAACUGCGGGCUUGCAGGCGAUACGGGCAGACUCGAGUACUGCAGGGGAGACUGGAAUUCCUGGGUGUAGCGGUGAAAUGCGCAGAUAUCAGG